AUAUAACUAGGCGGAGGAAAAGAAACUAACCAGGAUUCCCUCAGUAACGGCGAGUGAAGCGGGAGAAGCUCAGAUGUAAAGCCUUCGGGGAUGCCAUCUGGAGAAGCUAGAUUAGACUACAUAGGCGGGGCAAGUCAGUUGGAACACUGCACCGAUGAGGGUUACAGUCCCGUUUACCCCCGCUCAAAUAGUCACUUUCAGCUUUCUACGAGUCGUGUUGUUUGGGAUUGCAGCACUAAGUGGGAGGUAAAUUCCUUCUAAAGCUAAAUAUUGGUGGGAGACCGAUAGCGCACAAGUA
RNAcentral lists this ribosomal RNA (298 nucleotides) under uncultured eukaryote. Its description in RNAcentral is "partial large subunit ribosomal RNA". It matches the Rfam family "Eukaryotic large subunit ribosomal RNA", at positions 40 to 350 of the family's 3401-position model. The record is from RNAcentral.